This is a long non-coding RNA of Panicum hallii, 905 nucleotides long. RefSeq lists it as uncharacterized. The record is from RefSeq and is a predicted model, not a curated record. Lineage: Eukaryota; Viridiplantae; Streptophyta; Magnoliopsida; Poales; Poaceae. The transcript has 4 exons.
CAUCGAUCGUAUUUCCACACAGCAUUCAUUUCUUUCUCUCUUUUGGAAAGAGUCUUUUGGACGGCUUUCAAGAAAGCAACACGAGUCAACCUAAGCUCUGAUUGACAUGGCCCUGAAAACCUUUUGAAACGCAAGAGGCUGCCGCUGCCAAUUCUCCUGGGAGAGAUGUGGGCUUUUUUUUACUGCAAUGCGCCGAGGGCCCAAUUUUUCUGUCUUUCAGCCCUGCAGCGUCCGUAGAUAGUUUGCAGGCCCAAAACUGCACACGCACCGGCAAGUAAGCCCACGGAGGAGGCAGCCGCGGCGCCCGGCGGAGACGCGGAGUGCGAGAAGAGCGGCGACGAGGGGAAGGAAGACCGUGCGGGGAAGAAGAAGGCGGCGAGCCGAGGGCCGAGGCAUUUGAAUCUCCUCCAAGGCUCUAAGUCCAUGUCCUUCACGAACUCCUCCAUCGACGGCAUCUUCGAGAAGCUGACCGCGGAGGCUGACAGGCUGCAUCGCUGCAGCAGGAGGAAGCUCAGCCCCAGCUAGCACCACAUCCCGCGCCGCGGCAUCCAGAUUCCAGACCACCGUCCGCCUCGUCCUCUCCGGUGAGCUCGGGAAGCACGCCGUCUCCGUGGGCACCAAGCUAACAAAGCUAACAGGAAAUCAUAAGAUUGUUAUAUGAAUGGAUGAUAGAACUGAAGCAUCACAUACAUCUUCAGCUAUUUAAGGCAAGUGACUACCUGCAACCAUCUUGCUCAUUAUGUUCCACCACCAGGGAGUUGUUGCUACUCCUCAUAUUCUACCCACAGACUGGUGUCUGUGUGCAACCACAUUGUUGUAUCGGCUAUCUCCCAGAUUUUGUGUGGAAGAGCAUCCUCUGAGUACCUGUGUAGAUCCAAUGAACCUGUGAACAUAGCAUCUGUUGG